CAACCCUUAAGCCUAGCUUAGUGUUGGGAGUCUACUAAGUGGUAACUUGUUACCCUGUAGUUCCUAAAAUGAAACGGCGGAUCUGCAGUAUCCUCUGAGCGUAGUAAAUUUUUAUCUCGCUUUUGUCAGGUGCUGUGGCUCUUGCCGCUAAACCCCCAAUUUUUAAUGG
RNAcentral lists this unclassified non-coding RNA (169 nucleotides) under uncultured Xylariales. RNAcentral's name for it is "sequence contains ITS2". Lineage: Eukaryota; Fungi; Ascomycota; Sordariomycetes; Xylariales. The record is from RNAcentral.